RNA transcript from Cucurbita maxima (winter squash), 1808 nucleotides. It is a transcript of the gene named cyclin-D3-3-like, with no coding region annotated. The record is from RefSeq and is a predicted model, not a curated record. The transcript is spliced from 5 exons. Lineage: Eukaryota; Viridiplantae; Streptophyta; Magnoliopsida; Cucurbitales; Cucurbitaceae.
CGUUGCGUUUCUGCCCGCCAACGGGACACACCGAAAGCACAAACAUUUUCAAACCCCAAUGCAUAUAUAACAUAAAGACAAUCUCCACCAAUACAACCCACCGCUCCCCCUUUCUCUCUCUCUCUCUUUCUCCUCUCCUCUGGUUCUUCUUCAAUCCCCUUUUUCUCAGUUCCGCCGGACAUGGAUGGCCCUUUGAGCUCCUCCUUUUUCCUCUUUUGAGUCCUCUAAUCCAAGCUUCAUUCGAUGGCAAUGCAUCGCUAUGAGCCAGCCGACGAUGAAGCCCAAACCCAUUUGAUUUCGCUCGAUUCUCUGUUUUGCGAGGAGGAGAAAUGGGAGGAGGAGGAGGAGGAUGAAGAUGAGCUAGAACAGACCCAUCAAGCCCAUGUUUUUUCUUUGGAUGUUUUGGAGGAAGAUCUAUUUGGGGAAGAUGAACGCCUUCUCUCCUUGUUGUCUAAGGAAACAGAGCAGCUGAAACAGAGCAAUCUCAAGCUUGAACCUCUGUUAAUGGAUCCUUCUGUCUCUGCUGCUCGUUCUUCAUCUGUGGAGUGGAUGCUUAAAGUUAAAUCCCAUUAUGGGUUCUCGUCUCUCACUGCAAUUUUGGCCGUUGCUUAUUUCGACAGGUUCCUCUCGAGCUUUCAUUUUAGAAGUGACAAGCCAUGGAUGAACCAGCUUGUGGCUGUCACUUGCCUCUCGUUGGCGGCUAAAGUGGAGGAGGUUGAAGUUCCUCUGCUACUUGACCUUCAAGUGGAGGAUGCGAAAUUUGUGUUUGAGGCCAAAACCAUUCAGCGAAUGGAGCUUUUAGUGCUGUCAACUCUUCAAUGGAGGAUGCAUUUGGUUACUUCGUAUUCAUAUCUUGACAACAUUGUAAGAAGGCUUGGGUUAAAGACCAAUCUUCAUUUGGAGUUCUUCAAGCGUUCUGAGAAUCUCCUCCUUUCUCUUCUCUCAGAUUCAAGAUUUGUGGGUUAUCUUCCAUCUGUCUUGGCAAGUGCAACAAUGAUGAACAUUAUAGAACAGAUUGAACCCCAUAAGUCAAUGGAGCACCAAGAUCAUCUUCUGGGUGUUCUUAAAAUGAGCAAGGACAAAGUGCUAGGCUGUUACAAUCUUGUAGUGGAGCAUUCAAAGGCAUGUAGCAAUGGCUUAUAUCAUUCCAACAAUCCCCACAAGCGGAAGUACGAACAUCAUCAAGCUCCUGAUAGCCCAAAUGGUGUGAUUGAUGCUGGUUUCAGUUCAGACAGCUCCAAUGAUUCAUGGGCAUUGAGAGCAGCAGCAUCAGUUUGUUCUUCACCUGAACCAUCUUUCAAGAAGAACAAAACUGAAGAGCCAAGAAUGUUAUAUCAUUCUCUGAACAGGAGGGUCUGUUUGGACAUUGUUGGCAGCCCUUCUUAGUUCAUAAUCCGCCCCCCUUUCCCCUCCAAAGAACUAGGAAAUGAUUAUGUAUGUGUUAUAAUGCUCUGCUCCAUUUCUCACUUUUGAUAUCAAAUUGCUUGCCCAUAAUGUUCUUGGCAUUAGAAUUGGAAGGUGGAAGGAAGAGCAGUGAUGGGGAUUUGAUGGGAAUGUUCACAAGAACAGAAGUGACCAGAAAAAAAUGGCAUUGCAGAGGAGAAGACAAAAAGGAAAACAGAGCAGACCCACAUGGUUUCAGGGAGAGAUGGGUGUGUCUUAAAACGAGCUAUGGAGUGAUCGGAGAAGCCAAGGUUGUCUUGUCUGUAGGAAAAUGGUGUUUGAGUCAUUGUCCUGUCCGAUCUUCUCUGAACAAUGUUCUUAUUAAAGCUGCAUUUUCUUUGCACAAUAUCAGUGCCUUUCAGCCA